GCUGUCAGUGUGUUUUUAGGGUGACUAACCUGCCACCUCUUGAUCUUCUUCAUCCCAAAGCCACAUUCAAUUAUAAGAAAAAUCAGGCGAAGCCUAAUAGAAGAGUAUCAACAAAACUUGAUUGUUACUUCUUUAAGCAAGAAAAGACAAAGGCUUUGGCAGCCCAGAGGAAUCUGUGAAGACAAUCCAGUGAGAUGUGAAGGUAUCCUGGAGGCACUCAAGAAAAGAAAAGGCACGUGGCGUUACAGUCAAGGAAUUCGUAAGAAGAGUGACCGCAAAUGCAGAGACCCUUGGAUGCUCACUGUGAGAAGAAGGAAUUGCUGCAGGCUUAGCCCAAGCAGGACAUUUAUAUCACCUCUUCUAAGUUCAGGAAGAUGGUGAAGAAAGGAUGUAAGAGAGAGAAGACUCAGAGAAGAGUUAAGACAUUCUGUCUUCCAGGCAUGACAUCGCCUUUUUAAUCAUGUGCUCACAGCAGUUGUGCAGCAUAUCCUAGGCUUGAACAAGACUGGACCUGUGAAUAGCCAGUCACAGAUACCUCUCCCUGAUGAACGUGGCUAUUAGUGGAUUCCAGUGUCCAUACUUUCAGACUGGUACCUAUUGGUGGAACCACCAAGUUCCAUUGGAUGAAACAAUAGUCACUCAUGUGGUGCUUGUAAUGCUCCAUGGGUCAAAACCCAAAAAGAUAGAAAUAUAGGUAGGACCUCUAGAGAAGAGGGUACUGUUUACAAGUGAUGGGGGAGAAAAGAAAGGGUCGGGGGGUGAGAGUAGUCAGGAUGUGCUAUUUAGUGUAUAAAAUUGUCAAAGAACAAAUGUAAUUAGUUUUUUUUUAAUCUCAAAGACUUAUCAUCUCAUGCCAACUAAAAUGGUUAUCGAAAGAACAAAAAUUAACCAAAAUGGUAAGGAUGUAAGAAACAAGAACUCUUACACUUGAGGUGAAUACAGUUACUACGGAAAACAAUGAGGAAGUUCCUAAAAAACGAGAAGAUUUUCCAUAUGAGCAACCUGUGUUAUGAUAAGACGUGAAGCCCACAACCUUAUAUUACUGUAAUAGUGUCAAUAGGACAUAGAGUCAGCAUAGGCUUUCCCCACUGUUGGGUUUCUUAAAAUGUGACAUAUUUACACAAUAGGAAGCCACUUGACCUUGGGGAGGAUCUGUCACUGUAGCAAAAUCAAUAAAUUACGUGAAGUAUUAGAGAAUAUUAAAUUAUGUGAAAUAAUCCAGGCACAGAAAGACAAGUAAUGCACGGUCCCUUUCACAUGUGGAUGCAAAAAGAGCCAAUCUGAAAAGAGAGAGGUUGGAAAAGAAGGCCGUGGAGAUGACAGAUAAGCAGGGCUGGGUUUGAUCAGUACAGCUGCAUGCUUACGUAGAAAUGCACUCUACUCAUUAAAAUGUACAACUGAGCAUGUAACUCCAAAUGUUUAAAAGGAAACUUGAUGGGGGGGGAUCAUCUUAAGAUUUGAAGGGGUUGAGAGUGUGACAUUAUCAGGAGGGAUGCUCUCAAGUACCUGGGUACCUCCAGCAUAGAAAAGGCCAACCCAGGAAAUAACAGUUGUGACUCUGAAAAAAAAUCUAUACCAGCACGUAUGGAGUCACUUUAGACACUUCUGGCUUCUAUUAAGUCUCUAUACAGUCAACAUUGGCUUGCAUUUAAUACAGAAGGUAAUGAGAGGUCAUUGAAAUUGUUUCUUGAAGCAGCCAAGAACUUUUACGACUGUUCUCAGCGUAGAGCCAAGGCCUUAAUCCACAUCUGCAAACCGAAGACAUUUGAUUAGAUAACUUCCAGCUGUAAAAAUUGUAUGAUUAGCUAAUUAUUCAUUAUAGAGGUUUGGCCCUUUAAGUUUGUCUCCCAUGAAUCAAUUUAUGUCAGCUCGAACCUGAUGGAACCAAGCCAUAAACAUAAAGGCAUUUCAUCUUGGAAUUACACAUAGUAUCAUACGAAGAAGAGAUAUUUCAUCCUAAAGAUAACUCUAGGACUGACAGAGUAGUUAAUAGACUCCUGUAAGUGGACCAUGCUUAAGGAUGCUAGAAGACUGGAAAGGAAGAACAGGAAGAUGGCAGACUACUUAGAGUCUUCUCCCUUCAUCACCCAUCACCAUCUUUUUCUGUCGCAGUGAUAAAUGCAAUGGAUUCUUCUCUCCCACGAUAGCCUUCUGUUGUUGGAAAGGAACAAAUCCUUCAUCUUUGGACUGAGAUUUUCCCAGCCCUGAGUAUCCCAUCAAAUGUUUCCCAGGAAGAGCAGGUAGGGGAGCUCUUCUAACAUCUAACAGUAUUUUCAAAAUGCUUUUACAACUCACUCAAUGUAGCUUUAUCCUAAAUAACCUUUCCCAGUCAUUAGUAGCAAUUACCAAGACUUCUCUCCCACCUAAAGGUUCUAUAAGAUGUUGUAACACCCUCACUUUUGCGGAAUAAUCAGCAGUAUGUUUUUUCUGACCAACAGUUCUCUUCCUGAAGUAUUCUGGACAAGUUUCAGCACCAGGUAUAUAGGGAUACAGCCAGACUACACUGGAAAGCAACAGCAGUUGGAGGUUUAUAGACUCCUACAAAGCAAGUGGAAAGACAGUACAGUGGAAAACUUGUAUCGUCUUUCCUGUUGCAAACGGUCCUUAUGGUCCAGUCUAAAUAUUUAAGGGCCAUUCACUACAACUGAUCUAAUUAGGGGCACCGGAGGUAACACCAGUGACUUCACCUCAUCAGGACAAUUUUCUUGUUAACCGAUAUGCUUUGCAAUGACACAGGAAGGAUCAUUUUGCAAGAAAACAGGGCAAGAGGAGUCUAAAUAUUCCCCAAUGCAUUGGGGAAAAAAAUUGUAUUUUAUGCAUACAAUUAAAUAAUUUAUGUAACUAUGAUAACAGUAAAACCAUCUUUAUAUUUAAAACUCCCAAUCUGUGGGGAAAAAUUAUAAAAACCAAGGUGUUCGUUAGGAUUCAUAACCUUUAAUAUCAUUCUAUCCUUUAUCUUGAAGCCAAGGAGGAUGUAAAAAGACUCAACUAUACUGUUGGGAGGGUCUGCUAGGAUUAAAUUAUGUAAUAAAACUGAGAAAUGCUUGAACAUACACUCUUCUUUUCACAUCUAUUAAGGUUUAGUGAAAAAUUAAAAUUUAUGUAUACUGAAUAACCAUGUGUAAUUUUGAAGGCUAUUCUUGGUUGUCAACUGGACUACAUCUUGAACAAAUAAAAUCCCAAGACUAAGUA
Non-coding RNA from Myodes glareolus (Bank vole), 3192 nucleotides. The record is from RefSeq and is a predicted model, not a curated record. Lineage: Eukaryota; Metazoa; Chordata; Mammalia; Rodentia; Cricetidae.